AACAAAGCUGCUGGUAAUAUGACAUACACACCUCAAAGAGCUGGAAAGGAGGUAGGAGGAAGCUGUUUGACUGGAGGAGGCAUCAAUUCUUCACUGUCCUCUUUCUGUUUGUCUUCAAUAAGAGGAAAGUGGCUGAAGAGAAAAAUAAGAAAAUAAUGAUAAUACGCUUCUAUUAAUACCAAGAACAUGUAGUGUUGUCUCAACACGACAGCAAAAUUUUCUGUGUUCUAGUAACGAGAAAGAUUGUAUAAUAUCAUUGAAUAUUUGACAGUACUCUCUUGGCAAGACUUUUUCAAGGUCACUUUUUAGUGUUAUUCUGGAUAUACAGUACUUAAGUAAUUAGACAUUAAAUUUCAAUUCUCAAAGAAAAAGUGUUUUUGACCUAAAAUUCCAUUUCAGCCAAAAUCUUGAUCUCACCGAUUAUAUUCAAAACCUCAAUAAAUGUACCCUUGAACACGCUGGGUAAUGGUCUGUUGUUCACAGUUUGAUAUCUGUAUAAUUACUUGUCCAAAUGACAUCUCAAAAUUUGUAAUCACUUUUCUAAUGCUAAUUACUCGCCACCUAUGAUUUUUCAGGUAAGGUCAUAGGAAGAGCAGAAGACGUGAAAUAUAUUAUUUUAUAUAUAUUGUGUAAGAUGCAUCUUAUUAAAAAAGUAAAAUUA
Molecule: long non-coding RNA, 661 nt
Organism: Homarus americanus (American lobster)
Lineage: Eukaryota; Metazoa; Arthropoda; Malacostraca; Decapoda; Nephropidae
Exons: 2
Source: RefSeq, a predicted model, not a curated record